UGGGGAAUUUUGGACAAUGGGGGAAACCCUGAUCCAGCCAUCCCGCGUGUGCGGUGAAGGCCUUCGGGUUGUAAAGCACUUUUGGCAGGAAAGAAACGUCGCGGGUUAAUACCCCGCGAAACUGACGGUACCUGCAGAAUAAGCACCGGCUAACUACGUGCCAGCAGCCGCGGUAAUACGUAGGGUGCAAGCGUUAAUCGGAAUUACUGGGCGUAAAGCGUGCGCAGGCGGUUCGGAAAGAAAGAUGUGAAAUCCCAGAGCUUAACUUUGGAACUGCAUUUUUAACUACCGGGCUAGAGUGUGUCAGAGGGAGGUGGAAUUCCGCGUGUAGCAGUGAAAUGCGUAGAUAUGCGGAGGAACACCGAUGGCGAAGGCAGCCUCCUGGGAUAACACUGACGCUCAUGCACGAAAGCGUGGGGAGCAAACAGGAUUAGAUACCCUGGUAGUCCACGCCCUAAACGAUGUCAACUAGCUGUUGGGGCCUUCGGGCCUUGGUAGCGCAGCUAACGCGUGAAGUUGACCGCCUGGGGAGUACGGUCGCAAGAUUAAAACUCAAAUGAAUUGAC
This 566-nucleotide ribosomal RNA is filed under the name uncultured bacterium. RNAcentral describes it as "partial 16S ribosomal RNA". It matches the Rfam family "Bacterial small subunit ribosomal RNA", at positions 355 to 914 of the family's 1533-position model. The record is from RNAcentral.